CGUAACAAGGUCUCCGUUGGUGAACCAGCGGAGGGAUCAUUACAGAGUUGCAAAACUCCCACAAACCAUCGCGAAUCUUACCCGUACGGUUGCCUCGGCGCUGGCGGUCCGGAAGGCCCUCGGGCCCCCCGGAUCCUCGGGUCUCCCGCUCGCGGGAGGCUGCCCGCCGGAGUGCCGAAACCAAACUCUUGAUAUUUUAUGUCUCUCUGAGUAAACUUUUAAAUAAGUCAAAACUUUCAACAACGGAUCUCUUGGUUCUGGCAUCGAUGAAGAACGCAGCGAAAUGCGAUAAGUAAUGUGAAUUGCAGAAUUCAGUGAAUCAUCGAAUCUUUGAACGCACAUUGCGCUCGCCAGUAUUCUGGCGAGCAUGCCUGUUCGAGCGUCAUUUCAACCAUCAAGCUCUGCUUGCGUUGGGGAUCCGCGGCUGCCCGCGGUCCCUCAAAAACAGUGGCGGGCUCGCUAGUCACACCGAGCGUAGUAACUCUACAUCGCUAUGGUCGUGCGGCGGGUUCUUGCCGUAAAACCCCCCAAUUUCUAAGGUUGACCUCGGAUCAGGUAGGAAUACCCGCUGAACUUAAGCAUAUCA
RNAcentral lists this ribosomal RNA (586 nucleotides) under Neurospora dictyophora. Its description in RNAcentral is "eukaryotic LSU rRNA". The stretch from base 232 to 385 matches the Rfam family "5.8S ribosomal RNA". The record is from RNAcentral. Lineage: Eukaryota; Fungi; Ascomycota; Sordariomycetes; Sordariales; Sordariaceae.